AGAUUGAACGCUGGCGGCAGGCCUAACACAUGCAAGUCGAGCGGCAGCACGGGUACUUGUACCUGGUGGCGAGCGGCGGACGGGUGAGUAAUGCCUAGGAAUCUGCCUGGUAGUGGGGGAUAACGCUCGGAAACGGACGCUAAUACCGCAUACGUCCUACGGGAGAAAGCAGGGGGACCUUCGGGCCUUGCGCUAUCAGAUGAGCCUAGGUCGGAUUAGCUAGUUGGUGAGGUAAUGGCUCACCAAGGCGACGAUCCGUAACUGGUCUGAGAGGAUGAUCAGUCACACUGGAACUGAGACACGGUCCAGACUCCUACGGGAGCAGCGAGUGGGGAAU
This 337-nucleotide ribosomal RNA is filed under the name uncultured soil bacterium. RNAcentral's name for it is "bacterial SSU rRNA". It matches the Rfam family "Bacterial small subunit ribosomal RNA", at positions 26 to 362 of the family's 1533-position model. The record is from RNAcentral.